Molecule: RNA transcript, 1131 nt
Organism: Eurytemora carolleeae
Lineage: Eukaryota; Metazoa; Arthropoda; Copepoda; Calanoida; Temoridae
Exons: 5
Source: RefSeq, a predicted model, not a curated record
UAUUGCAUAAAACAAUGAUGACAGGACCUGUGAACUUUAUUUAAGGAGCUAUCUCCAAAGAGAAUAGAUUAUACAUAGAGUGGAAUUUAAACAAUUCCUUCGUCAGUCCCUUUCAGCCUAAAAGCGAGUUUAAAGUGUACAAUUCAUGUAAAUAUUUACAAAUUAUACGCAGUAUAUCACACUAAUUUUUCUGUGAGAUAAUUUGAGUUUUUUAAACUUUACUUCUUCUUCACCAUCUUUCUUGAUCACCUGAACCACAUGAACUGUAUGAUCAUUACGAUAAGGAUGACCAUGACAAUGAUCAUGACACCAUGACCAUUGACCAUGACAUCAUGACCAAUGACGUUAGUGCUAAUGCAGGAGGAUAAAACUGAGGUUAGGCUACGAAAUAAAGCGUGUAAACUCCUGGAUAGACCUGCUCCGGCUCCGUACUUGAACCUGCUCCGUGAGGGUUAUGAAUUACGUAUUGGCUUCGGGUCAACUCAAACCUUCAAGAGGAAACUGUCAAAAGGUUUUGUCUGUACUCUAAGCUGGAAGGGCAUGAAGGUGUAUGGUGCAGUGAGCAGGAUAGCUUCAGAGUCAGAUGAUCUGAUGGUAAAGAUCUGGGAUUUGUAUCCUUUCCUACAUGAUACAGGGAGAACGUUUUUCAGUCUAAGUUUGUGAGCGGAGAUUUACUGAUAGCUUCAUGCAGCCGAGACGGUCCGGUUAGGCUGACUCAGCUCUGCCCGGCUGGUUAACUCAGGUAUGUCAUUCGGCCCUCAAGCUUGGUUCCAAAAUCGACCAACCCUACUAUUGGCGGUGUUCAAGAUUUAACUGGAGUUGAGUGCUACUAUUCUCCAUCUAUUCAACAUUACCUCCAGUGAAAAUGAAUUCCCACCAGAGUGGUCUCCAGUGGAGUCAAAAUCUUACUACGAACUUCCAUGAAUCUUGAACUAAGUCUCUUCACACGAUAAAAGAUUUUACGCAAAUGUUAUACAAAUCAAAAAGACGCUUCUUUCAUUGGAUAGAGCUUGAAGAUUUAAUCAAUGGGUGUUUUCCAAUUCGACCAAUGAGAGCUUGAGAAAUCCUCAAAAUAAAAUAUUCACAAAGUUAUUCAGUAUUACUUUCAAAACUAUUAAUUGUUAAGCAGCU